AUGAAAUAGUCUAUUUUCCCCUCCCGUGCUCGGUUUCUCCUUCUCCCUGAGCUUCUUCUUCUCCACGCCGCUACCUGCUUUUCCCCGUCCCAAAUCCUAGGGUUUACCCAAGGCAAGGACACGACACGCCGCCAGCGUGCCCCGCCCUCAUCUGGUCAAGGGCGCGGCGGAGCAGGACUCCGGCACGUUCGGUGACCGGCUGGACUUCUGCAAGGCGAACCUGUUCACGGGGCGGGGCGCGGCGCGGAGGGCGGGGAGGAGUGCGAGGAGCCGUCGGUGGCGCAGGAGAGGAUCAUGCACCGGAUCAACUCCAAGAUGGCGCACAAGUCGUACCAGCUGGGGCAGCAGCUAUCGUUGCGGUGGACGACCGGCGUCGGGCCGCGGAUCGGGUGCGUGCGUGACUACCCGCCGGAGCUGCAGUUCCGGUUGCUGGAGGAUUCAGGCUUUGAAAUUGUGCCAAGUACAUUUGCGUUCGGUGGAGGAUUCGGGCUUUGAAAUUGUGCCAAAAACAGACACAGAAACAGAAUUUGAGCAACACUGACUGUCUGCUGUAAUCUAUAUACAACAGAAUUUGUACUGCAUCCUUAGUUUAGCGCAUCCCUCGCACCACGAGGAAAAUAUCAUGGAAUUGACAAGAGCAAGGCAGGAGAUAUGCUGGGAGCCAAAAUCAAUAGCGCCCAGACUGCAUGCAGAUAUAUAUAGCCUCAACAAGAUGAAUUGUGAGAUCGAGCUCCUUCAGUUUCAGCAUAAGCCCCCGCAUAAAUCAUCACCUUUGGAGCAGUGCUUAGUCCCAAACCAUUAAGAUUCUGUAACGGCUGAAAUUCUCCAAGCUCUGAAUCUCUGACGAUGAUGGGAUCCAGACACCCUGAAGAAACUACAUCCAGUUCAGUACAGUCAGGGGGUCUUCCAACCGUGUGUUUCUUCAUGGCAAGGUUUGCUAUUUGUUGUGUAUCAGUCCCAGCAAGUUGUAGUUUGGUUAUUCUUGUUCUUCAUUGUUAGUGAAGAAAAAUGACAAUGUAGUCCCAGGUCUGUGUACGUGAGGUUUUCAUGGUCCUUGAGCUGUUGUUACAUGCAGGGCCGUGCUUGCCAAGAAUCGAAACCGAUCCUCCUUGAAGAUGGUCCGGCCUCCAGUUCAUCUAUCGAAGGAUAGUAAUACUACUACUGCUGCAACUAUCUUGUUGUAUCGCUCUGCUUCCAUAUGCAAAACAAUGCAUUAACCUGUUCUUUUUUUUUUGCGGGAAAAAUAAUGCGUUGAUCAAUGUAUUCUCCAUUCCUGAUUGUCAUAUGUUUCGAAUUCAUAAGAUUAGCUAUAUGAAAGCCAUGGUGCAUAUAAUGUUUGUUUCAUUUCUUAGCGCAGUAGCUCUGGUAUGAAAGACUGACGAACAUGGGUGAAUAAGCUGGGAGGAACGGACAGCACAGGUAACAGUCCAAUCCCCUCUUAUUUUGUGGAGAAUUUUCAAUUCGUCUGACGUUUAGUUGAAUGAUUUGUCAAACUUUCAUUUGCUCAUUUGUUCUGUCUUUGUUUUUAUCUCUAUCGAGCAUGAUGUCCAACUUUUGUUGUCGUGGGGGCUUCUUGUAUGCAAGUAAGAGCAUGAUUUUGGAUCAUAGUGUUGAUUGGAUUGUGGAAAUUAUAGGAUGAUAAUAUUGUGUUGUUUUGAUCUGACCCUCGUGAGGGAUUAUAUAGAGUACAUGGUGGGGUAGAGACUUGGAGUACAAGACAAGACAAUUACCAAUUCUAUCUCUAACUCAAGCACAUUAUACUUCUAACAUUCCCCCCAAGCCGUAGUGCGAGUGAAGCGGACGAUUGCGACUGAAUUUGAAGUCUUGUCCUUUUUGCGCCAAUAUAUGCUGUUAAGAGGCACCCAUCUUGCUAAUUGGUGUGUCAAAUUUUACAUGGACAGUAUAGUUGUGUGAUUAUUGAGUGGUCCAGUGAGUAGUGUUGCUAUAUGCAAAGGAAUGAUAGAAUGAUGAGUUUGUAAAGUGAGUAAGGGCAUAUCAAUAAUUCAACCCGGAACCCGGGCUCAGAUGAACCCGGUGAACAGUACCACAAUUUACAAUAGAAACAAAGUUCACAAAAUUCGAAAUAUUUUUGUGGUGCACGAUGCUCCUGUGCGCGAACUCCAUGAUUUUUUUUGUGAAGUUUGGAUAUUCGAGGAGGUCGUGGCAAAAAAGACAAAAUCAGGCGUGAACAAUGUGAUUUCCAAAAGUUUCUCAGACAUUCGAGGCGUGAACAGUGUGAUUUUCAAAAAAGACAAAUUUCGGAUGUCCGAGAAACUUUUGAAAAUCGCACUAUUCAUACCUGAUCUUUUCUUUUUUGCCAUGAGCUCCUCGAAUAUCCAAACUUCACAAAAUUUUGCACAGUGUUCACGUACAGGAGCAUCUUACACCACAAAAUUGUUUUGGAAUUUUUAAAACUUCUUUCUAUUUUAAAUUGCCGUACUGUUCAGGCCCGGGCUCAUCUGAGCCCGGGAGCCAAAUCGCUGCUCUCCAUAUCGAUAGACUCAGUGCUCUACCUUCUGACAUAUAUAAGAAUGUGCGGAGUGUACUACUUAUGGAUGUAAAAAGGAAGUUUUCCUGAUACAUCCAUGUAAUGGUGGAUCGAUCGUAUGCUUAAUAAAGGUAAAAAUAUUUGUCUGGUUUUCCGCUCAUAGGUUGGUCAACUUUUUCUGGUGCCUUGGAUCUUUAUCCAAUUGGCAGGUAGUAUCUUUUAAUCAUCAUUAUUGAACAUAUAUAUGUUAGUUUGACUGAAUAUACUUGCACAAUACGUACUAAGUAGCCGUUUCUAUUCAACUAUAAUGUUUCACUAACAUGUUAAGCAACUGAUACAACUGACCCUGAGAUCCGAGAUCUAUUUUUUGUACUCAUCAGCACGAUAAUCUUUGGUGACCAAGAAUGAAAUUUGGAAUCAGACCUUUUUUUGGCAUUACAACAUAUGACACGGAAGGACAGCCUUUUCAUCCUCCACCAGUCGCCUACAGUAUUUUAUUUGUCAUCAACCAUUUCUAUGUUUAAUUCUCAUUUAUUGUGAAAUGAUUUAUUUGAGCACUUUAGCGAGCUACUCUUUGUUUUUGCAUUCAGUGACAAUGGGUAGGUGCAACCUUCGGAGAAAAGUGUGUCAAGGCAGCAAUUAUAGUUGGUAACAUGAGCUGCCCCAGUCGCAUGGCAGUGUUCUGGCCAAGAUGGUACGACACAUAGUUGCUCGCCCAAUGAAGGGAAUGUUGAUCUGGUAACAAUCCUUAUCUGAUCUUUUGUCAUAACUGGCCAACUGAGUUUAGUACUCCCUCCUUACCAAAUAUAAGAUGUUUUUGCAGUUCAAAUUGAACUACAAAAACGUCUUAUAUUUUGAUACAUAGGUAGUAGCUUCCAUAGAAAAUGCAUACAUGAUGUCCAAGGAUGCUACUUGGCAUUUCCGUCUAGAGGCUCACAUGUUGCUUGAUAUCUUCUCAUGUUCGAGACCUGCUUAGCACCUCCGUUUAGAGGCACCGCGCGAUUGUUAUUUGGUCAAUACAGUCAUUUUAUGACUCUGGCAUUAUCGUAUUGGACCGGGGAUUGUUUACUGUACAAUAAUAAUUGUACAUAGCUUCUGUCAAAUAAUCGACCACUCAGUUUGAUGCUGAUGAAUCUGAAUCACAACUUCUGUUGAAUUCCGGUCGUUAGAGAUACAGCAAGAAUUUCGAUUUGGCAGGUCCCUCACGGAGACACUGGAGGAGAUGGUGUGCUCAACCUGAGUUCGCCUUCAGCAUCCUCCUAUAGUUUGACAAGUCCAUGAGUGCCACGCCUACAGCCCCAGGUCAAGAGCAAUGCCUUCUUCAAGGUGCCAACCAAAAUGACACCUCUCCACACAUUUAUCACUGUAUUGUACAGAGAACCAAGUGCCCUGACCUACGCUAUAAAGAGAUCAUGUGAAAACAAAGCUGAAGUUGUUGCUCGGGAUGAGAAGGAAAGUGAUCUUUGAGCAACACUAGAUCUAGACCAAGAACCACUGGCUGACUUAGAACACGAGUUAGUCGAUUGUUGUGAUAACAGUAAGGGUUGAGAGUGAGCGGGGAGAAGGUUAGAGUUUGUCUGUUCAGUUACAGUUCUGAGCAGAAUAAUUUUUCUAUUUUAGAAAAUGUGGCAAAUUGCAUUUCAUCAGAGAUGGCUUUGCUGUAAAUUGCAUGAUUGAGAGGUUUUUAUAUAUUUUUCAUCAAGUCGUACAAUUUUUUUCUUUGGAUAGAAAGGUAAAUGCAUAGGUAGGUUGAUUCAAGAGUUAAUAAUGGACAUCAUGGCGUAUCAGUUGCAUGGA
This is a long non-coding RNA of Triticum aestivum (bread wheat), 4285 nucleotides long. RefSeq lists it as uncharacterized. The record is from RefSeq and is a predicted model, not a curated record. The transcript is spliced from 3 exons. NCBI's taxonomy places the organism in Eukaryota, Viridiplantae, Streptophyta, Magnoliopsida, Poales, Poaceae.